RNAcentral lists this transfer RNA (84 nucleotides) under Spirochaetales bacterium. RNAcentral's name for it is "tRNA-Leu". It matches the Rfam family "tRNA". From Rfam's summary of the family: Transfer RNA (tRNA) molecules are approximately 80 nucleotides in length. Their secondary structure includes four short double-helical elements and three loops (D, anti-codon, and T loops). Lineage: Bacteria; Pseudomonadati; Spirochaetota; Spirochaetia; Spirochaetales. The record is from RNAcentral. RNAcentral also lists the same sequence under 1 other name.
GCGGCAGUGGUGGAAGUGGUAGACACGCUAGCUUGAGGUGCUAGUGGCUGAAAAGCCAUGGAGGUUCAAGUCCUCUCUGCCGCA